This is a long non-coding RNA of Pezoporus flaviventris, 2861 nucleotides long. RefSeq lists it as uncharacterized. The record is from RefSeq and is a predicted model, not a curated record. Lineage: Eukaryota; Metazoa; Chordata; Aves; Psittaciformes; Psittacidae. The transcript is spliced from 2 exons.
GUAAAAAUUUUGUAUGUUAAAGUCUUCUUUUAGCUAUCUUGAAUACUGCUUCCCAUUUCUACAAAGCAUAACCUGUGUUAGCAUAUGACAGCUGGAAGGAUGCAGAAGAAAAUUGACUGAAGGGAUGGGAGAACUCGUGAAGGACGGUGUGGGACUGGUGAGUGUUGAGAAGUAGAAAUGGCACUGUUGCCAAGUGUUCAUCAAACUACAGCCUACAAGCUUUAUCAGGUCUGGUCUAAGAAAAAGCCCUUCUGAGAGGAGCAGACCCUUUCCUGGUAGUAGUAAUGACAAUCAUCAGUUUCCAGGGUGAGCUGGUUCAAGGUGCUAAACUGUCAGAAGAUUAACCCUGUAAAGAAGAUAAAUAACUCACCUGUGGGACUUGACUUAGCCAGUGAGAAUAAUGGUGUAAGAAAAGAGAGGAGUAGGACAGGAAUGUUAAAAAUCAUGUUGUCACAGUCUCACUGCUUUUCUUUCACAGUUCAUAAAGCUUUUGAGGCAGUGAGCUGCCACAUUUGACUUUUAGCCCCUUCUUAACUGAGGUUUACUGUGUCUACAUUUCAAGUCAACUCCUUUACUAAGCAAUUUGGAGGAAAUGUGUGUGUGUUGUCCCCAGAUCACACCUUCUGUAGGUGUCUUCUAACUUUAAAUUACUACUCAAUUUUUUUCUUUACAAAAAUAAAGCUUCUGUAUGUUCUCUCAGACCUGAGGUCCAGAUGAUAAACGAGUCCUGCAGCAGCAUUAAGACCCACUUUCUGUGGGCCUGGGUUUUAUGGUUGCUGAGUCCUAGAAGUACAAAGCCACUACCAAAGAUUAUGUCAGGGCAGUUGCUGACAAGCAGAGUAGUCAUAAAAUAGAUGAUACAAAACCCCUUAAGAAUGUAAAUACAUCAAGUAGGAAGUGUAUGACAGGAUUCCUCCAUAGCUGAGCAUCCCUAUUGUGGUGCAGGAAAGGACUUUUCUGACUGCUGUUCAUUGAACAGAGAAUGUGAAAAGCACUUUCCACAGGGAAGGAAUGAUGUACCAAUUAAGGCCAGAACGUCUCGAGUUCUCUGUUUACUGGAAGCUCAGAUAACAGAAGAAAGUCUUGUUUUACUCUUCCUAGGGAGUUACCUUGUACUAGACUACCAGUAGUCUGUGAGAUUGAGCUGGUAUUUUCAAUUAAGCUCUUGAAAAUAAAUGAAUAUUCUUAGCAAGCUUAACUAUAGAAAAACUAUACCACACUGCAAGGACUUGCUACCUGGAAGAAACAAGCAAUCCAUUUUCAACAGAUAGGUUGUCACAAGAUGGCAGUGCAUUAAUAGUCUUAAAAUAAAAUUACAACCGAAAUUUACAGCUACACAAAGGCUACAGCCGAAUUCCUUUCAAGUUAUGAAAAGAACAGAUAAAACUAAACUGACAAACUUCUGAACCUUGUUAGUGUGCAAUCCAGUACCAAAGCUAAACAGAGAAGGAGGCUAAUUUAUGGACUAGGAGGCACUAUCCAACCUAGAGAUGCCCCCAAACAAGGUGUUUUAAAGAUAAGCAUGAACUUAACAUGGAAAACACUAAUGACACUGGAAGGCUCCUACAAUGGGAAGCAUAUGUAAGAUGCCCUUGGAGUACUGCAAGAAAGGAAUGUAGGGAGUAGCUUUAUGGUUAAUGGUUGCAGCUAUGAGCUGUGGGAGAGCAGAGAGACUCCCAAUUAAGAUAACUGGGUUUUGUGAAGAUGGGAACCCAGAGAGCAAACAAUAGUAUCAGAAGCCCAGACGAUAAAGAAAACAAUGGGUUUGCUCCUAAUGCUGACUGACCUGAUCUGCAGCGAAGAUGGAUCUGUUCUGGAGAGCAGAAUCCUUGUAAGCACCCGACCCAACAUUUAUGACAAUUGUAAUCUUUCACCACAAAUGCUUAAUAGCUGCUAGUGCUUAAUAACUCAGUGUUGCUCUACUGAGUUACUCUAUCAAUGUGAAUUGGGAUUAGGUUUCAGAAGGGGAAUUAUUAGUUCUACUAAUUAUGUUGCCCAGGGGCUCCAUCCAACUUUGAGCGCCAGGUCACAGCAAAGACAGGAACUUACAGUUUUCAUAUCCCAAACAAGUUAAUGAGGAAAAUUUUUCAAGCAGAACUGCUGCAAAAGGUGUCUUUAAUGUCUUCAGCAUGUUUUCCAUCUGCGAAGACAGAAGCUGUAAAUAGCUCUCUAAUGAGAGAAGGGAAUCUACAUGGUUGUGGUUGCUCUGUGAGAGAAGAAACAAACACUUCAUGAAGCACAGUUAUUUUACAUAAAAGGAGGUAAAAAUCCAAGUCUGUGAGGAAAUAGAGCACAGCUCUGUAAAAUACUGCUGCUGACCCCUGCCAUCAAGUCUUUGUCCUGAUGGGACAACGUCAUGUUGCUAGAACAAGCAGAACAACUCCAUGGCAGGAGCAUCCGUACUCCGCCCCACAACAGCAGAACUGGGCUUCCCUGCUCUUCAAGGCUGCACUUACCCACCACUUUGGAAAAAUCAAGUAUUGUUUCAAAGCCUAUCUGCCAGGGCAGCGGUGAGCAGAGGCGCUGGCAAGAAACCUGGAUCCGAUGUUCUCUGCUCUUACAACAUCUCAAGAAGACAGAAUGGUCUUUUCAUUGCAGCUCUCAGAGAGAACAAAACCCAAAGUGCAGACGUUUCCGUUUAACAUUAUUAUUUCUCCACCUUGUAAUUACAAUACAUGUUAAGAUCUGAACAAUCCAUUUUCCCAAAUGUAAUUCUACAUCUGUGCAUCAAUCUUUACAUGAAUGGUGAAAACAGUGUAAUUUAGCAUCCACACCUCUAGUGUCUGUAGGUCCCAAAAAAAAUCCUUGCCCACGAAUGUACCACCUUCACGAUGGAGAAACUAAAACCAAAUUGACAAAUG